This 250-nucleotide ribosomal RNA is filed under the name uncultured bacterium. RNAcentral's name for it is "partial 16S ribosomal RNA". It matches the Rfam family "Bacterial small subunit ribosomal RNA", at positions 15 to 244 of the family's 1533-position model. The record is from RNAcentral.
GUUCCUGGCUCAGGACGAACGCUGGCGGCGUGCCUAACACAUGCAAGUCGAACGGAGAUAUGUUUUGGAAGGGCUUCGGUCUGGAAGAGAUAUAUUUUAGUGGCGGACGGGUGAGUAACGCGUGGGCAAUCUGCCUUGUAGAAAGGGAUAACAGGCCGAAAGGCUUGCUAAUACCGGAUGAGCUUGUCUAAUCGCAUGAUAAGACAAGGAAAGGGGAAACCCGCUACAAGAUGAGCCUGCGUCCCAUUAG